AAACACAAAAGAAACAAGAUGAAGAAGAAAACAAACACAAGAACAAGAAGAACAAGAAAACAAAUAAUCACAAACCCUAGAACUAAGAUAAAUAAGAAUUUACCUUAAUCUUUGGCUCUGAUACCAAACUGACGCGGAACCCAAUGGAAAUAAAUUCCAUGAACUCUAUGACAAGUUUUGGAAGAGAUCCAAGAUCAAACUAAACUCCCCC
Molecule: long non-coding RNA, 211 nt
Filed under: Jatropha curcas
Lineage: Eukaryota; Viridiplantae; Streptophyta; Magnoliopsida; Malpighiales; Euphorbiaceae
Description: long non-coding RNA (JCUR_LNC001767)
Source: RNAcentral